CUCACCCAUGAUCAGCAGUGCAGGAACAUUGACUUUAGGAUCGAUUAGGCCACUUUCCACUGUGAGAGAUCUGCGUGGAUCAUAAACAAUGUUUUAUAAAUUGAUACAACUAUGCACCCUAAAGUUACGCAACUAGUAAACAGUCAUUUUGGUCACUAAAUGCGUGAGGUCGUGCCACUAUGACUAUAGUACUUAAAUGUAUCGAAAUUACAAAUACAUCUGUGAGGAUGACUAAUGUUUGGCGAGGAAUCUGGCUAACCACUUUCGAUGGAGUCUCCAAGUCCAACUAUGUUUCUCUAUUCACAAGGUUCAAACCAGAUGCUUUGUUUAAGUAACAAGAGUUCAGUUCCACUCAAAUUUACGUUACAUAAUGUAUGAAUGUUACAUAAUGUACGAAUGUGUGAAUAUUGAAUUGUAAGAUUUUGAUUACCUGUAUGGAACCUGCAAUGCAAAUCUGAAGCCAGAUUUUUCAUAGAGUGAUGCAUAAACUGUCAAGUCUUCCUCAGAGAACCAUGGUGGAAGGGGAGUAGAAGGAUUAAACAAGUCCAUGAUUUCUUGAUCAUCAUUUGCUACUGGCACCUCACUUUUCGAAAAGAGAAUAUAGAUGUUCCUUAUAACCGACUUAACAUCAAAGCGGCCAAAAUCUGCUUCUGCUCUCCCAGGUUCCUGAAUUAAUAUACUCAAUAGUUCAUCUUUGUCAUAAGCUAUUCCAAACCUAAAUAUAAGCAAAAAAGUACAUGUAUCUGGUUCAAAUGCAGACCGAACUUACUCAGUACAUGUACUUUUUUGCUCAUAUUUAAGUCCAGAAGAAGUAUCGAGAAAAAUAAAAAUGAUUGGAAUAGAAUUUGCACCUGCCACCUAGUAAUGUAGAAGCCUUUUGGGAGAAGAUCGUUUUGGAUAGCAGAAGGACCAGGAUUCAUGAAAGGAAUGCCUAAAGUAAUGAGAGAAGCUACUGUUUCUGGAUAGACAACAGGUACAAGAUUUGCUACGAUGGCACCAGAGUCCUUACCAAUAAGGAAAACCUGAUAAAAGCAAUUGAAAUUGCACAUCCAUAAACUAUUAGAUAAGUUUUUCAUCUUAAUCAAAAGGUUCUUAUUCUUUAUCCUUUCAUCUCAAUUUUUUUUUCUACUAAUAACGUAGCAUCGCUUAUUUGGCCACACUGAAUAUUAAUUGGUAUCAAGUGUGGCCGAAUAAGCGCUAUUGAAAGAUGCCACAUCAGUAAAAAUUAUCGCAAAAUGAGUCGGGUGGAAAAUUCAUAAAAUGAUCCUUACCUUGCUGAUGCCUAAUGAAUCUAAAAGAUCUUUGACUUCAUGAACAAGGUCCAAUGAAGUAGCUUUUUCUGGUUCAGCUGGAUGAUCAGAAAGUCCAUAGCCUCUAGAAUCAUAGGCAAUAGCGCGGUAACCGGCAUUUGCAACAGCAAUCAAUUGAUAUCUCCAUGUAUACCAUAUUUCUGGAAAUCCAUGUAAGAAAAGAACUGUCUUUUCACCUGCAUAAAUACACAAACAAAAGUAUUGUCAAACUUUGGAAAUGAAUCAAUUAAGAAUGUUUCUGAUAUGAUGAGGGUGUUGAAUAUACCAGUUCCAAUCUCAGCUACAUGGAGCUUUAGUCCCUUCACUUCUACAUGACUGUGUUUGAUGUUCUCCAUCUUGGAUGCAGGGUGAAGUGUGUUUGUGAGAGAGUUAUGAACUUAUGAUUGCAAAAGGAGAAUAAUAAACAAAAGUAUAAAACAAAUGAAGCACCUACCUCAUUUCCUAAAUUUUCAGAUGAAGACAAAUUGAGGUGAAUAUUUAGAUGCUGUUUUGUAAACAAAGGUCAAUGGUGAGAGAUUAAGGCAUGUUUGGAUAAAGUAUAUUUAAUAAUGUGCUUAAAAAAGGUUAAUUAAGGUUUUUGUCUAAAAGAAUUUUGAUUUUAGUCUCUGAAAAAUAAAAAUGAUACUUUUAGUCUCCGAGGAAGGGGAUUCUGGUAACCUAGAGUUCGGUCGCGAGGUUAGAAAAGUCUGACCAAGAAUUGUUUCCACCAGAAAUCGAACUCUGGUUCACCCGAACAAUCCUCACAUACAAAGGAAUAUUAAUUAUACUAAUAUUUGCCAUUGUAGAAUAAAAUCAUACUGAGUUCUUGCUCAAAUUACUUAUUUGAAUGUCCGUUCCUAUUUAUUUGUUGCUAUUUUACUUUUUAUACAUGUUGAUCAAUAAAUUUUGUUACUUUUAUAACAUUAUUAUUUCUCUUUUCCUUAUAAUACCCUUAAUCAUUUAUUGUCUCAUUUCAUUUUUUUUUUUAUCUGCAAUAAAUACUUACGGACAUUAUUGACAAAAUACUAAUAAAUGUUACAUUGAACUUUAAAAUUGACAAGGAAAUAGAAACAUUAUUUUUCUACAAAAUCGAUAAGCGACAAGUAAUUAAGAACCGAAGAAGUACAACAUUAAGCAUAAGACUCUUAGACUCCAUUAUCACAAUCACAAUCACAAUCAGAAUCAGAUAGUUUGUUUGUCAAGGAACUCAAUGAUGAUCUUGUUCACUUUUUCUGGGAAUUGUUCAUGAACAAAAUGGCUUCCUACUGGAAUAUAUAUAGUUUCCAAGUCUGGCACAAAAUUUUUCACCACUCCACUUCUGAUGUAGUCUUCCAUGCCAGGAAACUUGAAGCAAUAGUCUUCCUCACCCAUUAUCAGUAGUGCAGGAACAUUGAUUUUAGGAUCAGUUAGACCACUUUCCACUGUCAGAGACCUGUUUGGAUCAUAAACAAUGUUUUCUAAAAUGAUACAUGUAUGGUUAGAGACAAUUUCUACUUUAGGGCAUUGGAAAAAAUAGACUUAAUACAAAAAACAAGGAAACGAGAACGAGGAAACAUUCAUUUUGCUCUAUAAAUGUGUGAGGUGUGAAUAAGGAGUUGACUUGUCCUCUUAAUUAUAAUUAUUAGUUUGUUUCUAGAAUAAGGAAAACAAAUCAAAUAUUGAUUUGUUCUCAUUAAAUGUAAUUAUUUAGUGUAAUUACCUGUAUAACCU
Molecule: long non-coding RNA, 2999 nt
Filed under: Trifolium pratense (red clover)
Lineage: Eukaryota; Viridiplantae; Streptophyta; Magnoliopsida; Fabales; Fabaceae
Description: long non-coding RNA (TPRA_LNC003869)
Source: RNAcentral